UACGGAGGGUGCAAGCGUUAUCCGGAUUCACUGGGUUUAAAGGGUGCGUAGGCGGGCAGGUAAGUCAGUGGUGAAAUCUCCGAGCUUAACUCGGAAACUGCCAUUGAUACUAUUUGUCUUGAAUAUUGUGGAGGUAAGCGGAAUAUGUCAUGUAGCGGUGAAAUGCUUAGAUAUGACAUAGAACACCAAUUGCGAAGGCAGCUUACUACACAAUGAUUGACGCUGAGGCACGAAAGCGUGGGGAUCAAACAGG
This 253-nucleotide ribosomal RNA is filed under the name uncultured bacterium. RNAcentral's name for it is "partial 16S ribosomal RNA". It matches the Rfam family "Bacterial small subunit ribosomal RNA", at positions 524 to 776 of the family's 1533-position model. The record is from RNAcentral.